GCUUCCUACGGGAGGCUGCAGUGGGGAAUCUUGCGCAAUGGGCGAAAGCCUGACGCAGCCAUGCCGCGUGAAUGAUGAAGGUCUUAGGAUUGUAAAAUUCUUUCACCGGGGACGAUAAUGACGGUACCCGGAGAAGAAGCCCCGGCUAACUUCGUGCCAGCAGCCGCGGUAAUACGAAGGGGGCUAGCGUUGCUCGGAAUUACUGGGCGUAAAGGGAGCGUAGGCGGACAUUUAAGUCAGGGGUGAAAUCCCGGGGCUCAACCUCGGAAUUGCCUUUGAUACUGGGUGUCUUGAGUAUGAGAGAGGUGUGUGGAACUCCGAGUGUAGAGGUGAAAUUCGUAGAUAUUCGGAAGAACACCAGUGGCGAAGGCGACACACUGGCUCAUUACUGACGCUGAGGCUCGAAAGCGUGGGGAGCAAACAGGAUUAGAUACCCUUGUAGUCGAAUCAUC
This 452-nucleotide ribosomal RNA is filed under the name uncultured bacterium. RNAcentral describes it as "bacterial SSU rRNA". It matches the Rfam family "Bacterial small subunit ribosomal RNA", at positions 334 to 803 of the family's 1533-position model. The record is from RNAcentral.